AGAAUCAACGCUGGCGGCGUGCCUAACACAUGCAAGUCGAACGAGAAAGUGGAGCAAUCCAUGAGUAAAGUGGCGCACGGGUGAGUAACACGUGACUAACCUACCCUUGAGUGGGGGAUAACCUAGAGAAAUCUGGGCUAAUACCGCAUAAUACCUUCGGGUCAAAGGAGCAAUUCGCUUAAGGAGGGGGUCGCGGCCGAUUAGUUAGUUGGCGGGGUAAUGGCCCACCAAGACUAUGAUCGGUAUCCGGCCUGAGAGGGCGCACGGACACACUGGAACUGAAACACGGUCCAGACUCCUACGGGAGGCAGCAGUGGGGAAUUUUGCACAAUGGGGGAAACCCUGACGCAGCAACGCCGCGUGGAGGAUGAAGUCCCUUGGGACGUAAACUCCUUUCGAUCGGGACGAUUAUGACGGUACCGAGAGAAGAAGCCCGGCUAACUCGCGCCAGCAGCCGC
RNAcentral lists this ribosomal RNA (458 nucleotides) under uncultured bacterium. RNAcentral describes it as "SSU rRNA". It matches the Rfam family "Bacterial small subunit ribosomal RNA", at positions 26 to 518 of the family's 1533-position model. The record is from RNAcentral.